UACGGCUCAGUAACACGUAGCUAACCUACCCUUAAGUCAAGAAUAACCUCGGGAAACUGAGGAUAAAUCUUGAUAGAAAAUAAUUUCUGGAAUGAUUUAUUUUUUAAAGGCAACGCUUAAGGAGGGGGCUGCGGCUGAUUAGGUAGUUGUUGGUGUAAUUGACUAACAAGCCGAUGAUCAGUAAGGGCUCUUAGCGGAGAGGCCCUGAGAAGGAAUCUGAGACACUAUUCCUAGCUCUACGGGGUGCAGCAGUUAAGGAAAUUUUACAAUGCGCGAAAGCGUGAUAGAAUAAACCAGAGUGCUUCUCUUAGAGAAGCUUUUGUUUGGUGUAAAAAGCCAGACGAAUAAGGACUGGGCAAGACCGGUGCCAGCCGCCGCGGUAAUACCGGCGGUCCGAGUCGCAUCCACAUUUAUUGGGUCUAAAACAUUCGUAGCUUGUUUUGUAAGUCUCUUGUGAAAUCUCAUGUCUCAAGCAUGAGGCGGGCAAGAGAUACUGCAUUACUAGAGACCGGAAGAUGCAAAGAGUACAAUCAAGGUAGCGGUAAAAUGUGUUAAUCUUGAUUGGACUAACAAUGGCGAAGGCACUUUGCAAGUACGGAUCUGACAGUGAGGGAUGAAGGCUAGGGGCGCAAAAGGGAUCAGAUACCCCUGUAGUCCUAGCAGUAAACACUGCUCACUAAACAUUAGUACCUCCUCGAGAGGUAUUAGUGCUGUAGAGAAGUCGAAGAGUGAGCUACCUGGGAAGUAUAGUCGCAAGGCUGAAACUUAAAGGAAUUGGCGGGGGAGCAC
This 789-nucleotide ribosomal RNA is filed under the name uncultured archaeon. Its description in RNAcentral is "bacterial SSU rRNA". It matches the Rfam family "Archaeal small subunit ribosomal RNA", at positions 84 to 879 of the family's 1478-position model. The record is from RNAcentral.